CUCUUGAACAUCAGUGUCAGCAUAAUGGAGGGAGAUGGCUCUGUAGCAGCUCUUUCUGCCAGGUGACUUAAAAAGGAAUAUCCACUCAGCUGUGGUGUGGGAGCCUGAAAACAGGAACUCAGAUAUAGUGGAGUUAUUCUUGGCCUUUUGGAUCUUAAACAUCUUAGAGAAGCAACCUGGACUACUGGAUAAAGUAUGGACCGAGGAUUCAGAAGGACCUGAGUUCUAAUCCCAGCU
This is a long non-coding RNA of Ornithorhynchus anatinus (platypus), 237 nucleotides long. RefSeq lists it as uncharacterized. NCBI's taxonomy places the organism in Eukaryota, Metazoa, Chordata, Mammalia, Monotremata, Ornithorhynchidae. The record is from RefSeq and is a predicted model, not a curated record. The transcript has 3 exons.